Molecule: ribosomal RNA, 253 nt
Filed under: uncultured bacterium
Lineage: Bacteria
Description: partial 16S ribosomal RNA
Rfam family: Bacterial small subunit ribosomal RNA
Source: RNAcentral
AACGUAGGUGGCGAGCGUUAUCCGGAUUUACUGGGCGUAAAGGGUGUGCAGGUGGACUGAUAAGUGGUGUAUGAAAUCGCCGCGCUCAACGUGGCGGGGUUAUGCCAGACUGCCAGUCUAGAGUGUGGGAGAGGUAAGCGGAAUUCCUGGUGUAGCGGUGAAAUGCGUAGAUAUCAGGAGGAACACCUGUGGUGUAGACAGCUUACUGGACCACGACUGACGCUGAGACACGAAAGCGUGGGUAGCAAACAGG